GACGAACGCUGGCGGCGUGCUUAACACAUGCAAGUCGAACGGAAAGGCCUCUUUCGGGGGGUACUCGUGUGGCGAACGGGUGAGUAACACGUGAGUAACCUGCCCUUGACUUUGGGAUAACUUCAGGAAACUGGGGCUAAUACCGGAUAGGAGCUCCUGCUGCAUGGUGGGGGUUGGAAAGUUUCGGCGGUUGGGGAUGGACUCGCGGCUUAUCAGCUUGUUGGUGGGGUAGUGGCUUACCAAGGCUUUGACGGGUAGCCGGCCUGAGAGGGUGACCGGCCACAUUGGGACUGAGAUACGGCCCAGACUCCUACGGGAGGCAGCAGUGGGGAAUAUUGCACAAUGGGUGGAAGCCUGAUGCAGCAACGCCGUGUGCGGGAGGACGGCCUUCGGGUUGGAAACCGCUUUCGCUCAUGACGAAGCUUUGUGUGACGGUAGUGGGUAAAGAAGCACCGGCUAACUACGUG
This 467-nucleotide ribosomal RNA is filed under the name uncultured bacterium. Its description in RNAcentral is "partial 16S ribosomal RNA". It matches the Rfam family "Bacterial small subunit ribosomal RNA", at positions 28 to 507 of the family's 1533-position model. The record is from RNAcentral.